This is a non-coding RNA of Tigriopus californicus, 71 nucleotides long. The record is from the annotation of a RefSeq genome assembly. Lineage: Eukaryota; Metazoa; Arthropoda; Copepoda; Harpacticoida; Harpacticidae.
GCCGUGAUUGUCUAGUGGUUAGGACGCUGCGUUGUGGUCGCAGAACCCCGGUUCGAAUCCUGGUCACGGCA